Molecule: long non-coding RNA, 2102 nt
Filed under: Brachypodium distachyon (stiff brome)
Lineage: Eukaryota; Viridiplantae; Streptophyta; Magnoliopsida; Poales; Poaceae
Description: long non-coding RNA (BDIS_LNC000619)
Source: RNAcentral
UCUCGUUAAUUGUUUUUUCUUUCGAUCUCGCCUGCGAUUGCUUCGCACUGGAAGGACGCCGUAGAACCUACAAACGGCCCUAGCCUAGUUGAGUCACCUGUUGAAUGCUACUCAUCGUCAGAGCAUCUCCACCAGCUCACCUAAAACCAGUUAUAGCAAUAGGAGAGAAGAAAUUGGUACAUUUUAUUGCCUCUUCUCCACCAACUUACCUAUCCGUUGUUCCCUAUUUUCCUUUCUACCUUACACAAACACAUGGGAGUGGACCUACUCGUCAUUGAGACAAAAAAUCCUCACUGCCGCCUUCUUCCUCCCAAUAACCUGCUACUGCCGACUUCAUGCGCCACCGUUGAUGCCUCCGAGCCUGGCUGUCGCGUCGCCCACCUCCCAUGUGCUAUGUCGCCGCCCAUGCCUGUGGUGCCGCAUGCCCGUGGUUGCCUCCUGCUGUGAUGGGGAGACCGCGGCGAAGCGUCAUAGGAGCUCGGCAGGGUGGCGUACGAGAUCCAGGGGCGGUAGCGGAGCUCCAUGAGGCUCGCUGGCGACGGAGUUGAUCGGAUUUUGGGUGGCGGCAGCAGUAAGGGAGAGGGUCUGGGAGGCUAGGCAAGGGGCAGGAGGGGCGGCGAGGCGCCGGCGGCGGCCGGAUUUUGGGCCAGCCGCAUUAGGACGACAAGAUGAGGAGAAGUCCCGGAGGUGGUUGUUGGGGGCACAAAAUAGAAUUAUCUUUCUAGGUUGCCUGACUGGAACUUGGAACAAGAGGAUUGAAUUUCACACAUCUUACCUAUUGUUCGAUAUUAAACCCCGAGUUACCUUUGUCGGGAAAGCUUCUACUUUGCUACAUCACUCUGCGCUCGGGAGUCCCAACAGUUGGUGCACGAUCAGAUUGGUGCCAUCACAGAGGCACAUAAAGACGUUACUUUAUACCGAUGUUAUCUUUUUUGGAGUAAUUUAAUCACCGUUGGAGAGGUGAGGGUACCACAAUAGGUUUCUAGAACAACCCUUAAAUGGCUCACCUUUUUCUCCUUGAGCCUUCCCAAAAAAUGUAGAUCAAUCACUUGUGGUAGAUCUUGAUGGGUUGAUCUCUGAACCUUUAUAGACUUCUCAGGAACUAAUGCCUGCCUUUGGAUGCUCCCAGAUGGACUCCAAUCGUCUAAGAGUCGCCACAACUCCCAGAAUAACAAGUGCUCACUUGAUGAACUCAAAGGGGGAACAAAACCCUUCGGUGGAAGUUUUGAUAUAGGGCUCUUCUCAAUUUUUCCUUAAAGGAUGGGUUAGAUCCGAGAAAAGGAGGAGGAGCCGUUUUGAGCCUUAAGCUUGAGUUUAAUGGAGUUGGAGAGAGAGUAUAGCACAAUUCAAGUCGGAUGGAAGAGACAAUCCUUGGGAAAGAAAGGUGAAACCUUUUAUACGACCCACUCAAAAUAUGCCCGUUGGGAAACUCUUCAACAGCUGGGAGGGUCACCCAAACCUUUCGAAAUAACUUGCCUGAUUCAAGGAUCACCUUCAAGCCAGGAUCCGGCCGGGACUCACCCGGAUCUCAGCCCGAGGGUUGCCCGGACCCUCCAAUCUGGAUCAGCCUCCAGAUAGAUACCUAGGCUAGUCUAGAGAUUCAGGACUCGCCCAGAGCAUAUCUCCAAAGCAUUGCCAGAUUACGUGGCAGCCUAGAAGGUCACUCGACCGUGGAAAAACCUUGGAAUAGAUUAUAAAAAAGAAAAGAAAAAUCUCCAAACCUCUGCAUACUCAGAUGCACUCAACCAUUUUUAUUAAAAAGAUGCUAGGCAUCGAACACAUCGGCUUACGGAAGUUAAAAAAAAUCAGAGGCAAUCUUCUUUAGGCUGGCAUAAUGACAUAUAUCUUCUCCAUCUACCACAAACCAAUUGCCAGUGACCAAAUCAAGAAUUCUAAUGAGUUGUGAUCUAACAUGCAUGUUUUCCUUGGAAUGACAGUAUCACAACUAAGCUACAAAUACCAUGGAUUAGUGCACAAAACAUGCAUAUAAGAACUUUUUUUAAAGGAAGGCAAAGCAUCAAAUAUGAACGCCUUACAGAAAGAAAGAAAAAAGGUGCGGAUGACAUCUUCAUUACAGGGUGUUUGUCUGUUUCAUUAGGCUU